CCUACGGGAGGCAGCAGUGAGGAAUAUUGGUCAAUGGACGAGAGUCUGAACCAGCCAAGUAGCGUGAGGGAUGACUGCCCUAUGGGUUGUAAACCUCUUUUAUAUGGGAAUAAAACAGGGUAUGCAUACCCUCUUGUAUGUACCAUAUGAAUAAGGAUCGGCUAACUCCGUGCCAGCAGCCGCGGUAAUACGGAGGAUCCGAGCGUUAUCCGGAUUUAUUGGGUUUAAAGGGUGCGUAGGUGGAUUGUUAAGUCAGUUGUGAAAGUUUGCGGCUCAACCGUAAAAUUGCAGUUGAAACUGGCAGUCUUGAGUACAGUAGAGGUGGGUGGAAUACGUGGUGUAGCGGUGAAAUGCUUAGAUAUCACGAAGAACUCCGAUUGCGAAGGCAGCUCACUGGACUGCAACUGACACUGAUGCUCGAAAGUGUGGGUAGCAAACAGGAUUAGAUACCCCUGUAGUC
RNAcentral lists this ribosomal RNA (460 nucleotides) under uncultured bacterium. RNAcentral describes it as "partial 16S ribosomal RNA". It matches the Rfam family "Bacterial small subunit ribosomal RNA", at positions 338 to 795 of the family's 1533-position model. The record is from RNAcentral.